RNAcentral lists this ribosomal RNA (253 nucleotides) under uncultured bacterium. RNAcentral's name for it is "partial 16S ribosomal RNA". It matches the Rfam family "Bacterial small subunit ribosomal RNA", at positions 524 to 776 of the family's 1533-position model. The record is from RNAcentral.
UACAGAGGUCUCAACCGUUGUUCGGAUUUAUUGGGCGUAAAGGGUGCGUAGGUGGCAGGGCAAGUCGGAUGUGAAAUCCCGGAGCUCAACUCCGGAACUGCAUUCGAUACUGCUCAGCUAGAGUACUGGAGAGGAGACUGGAAUUUACGGUGUAGCAGUGAAAUGCGUAGAUAUCGUAAGGAAGACCAGUGGCGAAGGCGAGUCUCUGGACAGUUACUGACACUGAGGCACGAAGGCCAGGGGAGCAAACGGG